AUGCCGGAUGCUCCAGUUGAUCGCAUGGUCUUCUGGGAAAGCUUUCGCGGUAUGGGAUGGGGUCGCGUCCUAUCAGCUUGACGGCGGGGUAACGGCCCACCGUGGCUUCGACGGGUAGCCGGCCUGAGAGGGCGACCGGCCACAUUGGGACUGAGAUACGGCCCAGACUCCUACGGGAGGCAGCAGUGGGGAAUAUUGCACAAUGGGCGCAAGCCUGAUGCAGCGACGCCGCGUGAGGGAUGGAGGCCUUCGGGUUGUAAACCUCUUUUAUCGGGGAGCAAGCGAGAGUGAGUUUACCCGUUGAAUAAGCACCGGCUAACUACGUGCCAGCAGCCGCGGUAAUACGUAGGGUGCAAGCGUUAUCCGGAAUUAUUGGGCGUAAAGGGCUCGUAGGCGGUUCGUCGCGUCCGGUGUGAAAGUCCAUCGCUUAACGGUGGAUCCGCGCCGGGUACGGGCGGGCUUGAGUGCGGUAGGGGAGACUGGAAUUCCCGGUGUAACGGUGGAAUGUGUAGAUAUCGAAAA
This 522-nucleotide ribosomal RNA is filed under the name Bifidobacterium longum subsp. suillum. RNAcentral's name for it is "bacterial SSU rRNA". It matches the Rfam family "Bacterial small subunit ribosomal RNA", at positions 166 to 703 of the family's 1533-position model. Lineage: Bacteria; Bacillati; Actinomycetota; Actinomycetes; Bifidobacteriales; Bifidobacteriaceae. The record is from RNAcentral.